GACGAACGCUGGCGGCGUGCUUAACACAUGCAAGUCGAACGGAAAGGCCCUGCUUUUGUGGGGUGCUCGAGUGGCGAACGGGUGAGUAACACGUGAGUAACCUGCCCUUGACUUUGGGAUAACUUCAGGAAACUGGGGCUAAUACCGGAUAGGAGCUCCUGCUGCAUGGUGGUGGUUGGAAAGUUUCGGCGGUUGGGGAUGGACUCGCGGCUUAUCAGCUUGUUGGUGGGGUAGUGGCUUACCAAGGCGUUGAAGGGUAGCCGGCCUGAGAGGGUGACCGGCCACAUUGGGACUGAGAUACGGCCCAGACUCCUACGGGAGGCAGCAGUGGGGAAUAUUGCACAAUGGGCGGAAGCCUGAUGAAGCACGGCCGCGUGCGGGAUGACGGCCUUCGGGUUGUAAACCGCUUUCGCCUGUGACGAAGCGUGAGUGACGGUAAUGGGUAAAGAAGCACCGGCUAACUACGUG
RNAcentral lists this ribosomal RNA (468 nucleotides) under uncultured bacterium. RNAcentral describes it as "partial 16S ribosomal RNA". It matches the Rfam family "Bacterial small subunit ribosomal RNA", at positions 28 to 507 of the family's 1533-position model. The record is from RNAcentral.